RNAcentral lists this long non-coding RNA (2127 nucleotides) under Canis lupus familiaris (dog). Its description in RNAcentral is "lncRNA (ENSCAFG00845015719.1)". The record is from RNAcentral. Lineage: Eukaryota; Metazoa; Chordata; Mammalia; Carnivora; Canidae.
CACUCUGAGAGAAGAAAUAGAGUCACAAUGACCAGUACAAAGGUGAGCCUCCACUCCCUUUCCUGAAACAGGCAACUCCUUUUAUUUUUUUAUUUUUAUUUUUUUUAAUAGGCAACUCCUUUUAAAGUCUUCCAAAGACACAUGACACAUCUUAGGCAUGUGUCAUCUUAGGUUCAAUGUUCAAUGGUCUUCAGAUCCAGGCACUGAAAUGCUUCUGUCUACUUUCAUGGAUUAAAGGGCCAGUGAUAUCAAAGUGACUCCCUCUAUAGGGCAACCCAUUUCUAUAGGAAUUCUUGUCUUUCAUCCAAGGAGAAUUUGUGCAGAAACAGUCUAGGGGCUGUAUACUGUGCAGUUCCCUGUUUGGCUCCUUCCCUCCAAAAUAUGUCCAUUAUCUGUGCAUGAAAUUUGUGAAUCUUGACCCUCUCUUCCCUCCUGUUCAUAGUAAGACACUUGAUCCCUUUUGUAAAUGAAAAGCUGGCAGGAUUGUUUUGUUCGGUUGGUUGUUGUUUUUGUUUUGCUUUAAUACUUGAGACCUGGAGCGAGCAAUGCUUAGUUUUCAAGCUGUAUCUCCUGGUACAUGCAUAAGGUGUUCAUACUCACGCCGAAAUGGUUAAUUAAAACAUCACUUUAAGGACUUAGUUAAAAGGCUUUCUAUGAACCCCCUCCCCCCAGCAACAAGAACAUCUUCAUUCCUCAGUCCAUUCUUAAAGAACAGUCAUUCUUCACAAGAGAUAGACUGGAUAUUUUUUUCACUUUUCCUUAUAGAAUGGGAGAAGAAGGCUAAGUUGUGGUUUCUUGAGUCAAUAGUCUAGAAAUAAUGAUUUUUUUAACUUGUCUCUCAUCUUCCUUAUAUGCAUAUGAAGGACAAAUUUCCCAGAUUUUAAUCCUAUUUUCUAUCUUCUAAGAAUUUGGUCUUCUCUGGAAUCUUAUCAUACUUCCUUCUUCUUCUUGAAAACAAAUAAUUCAUCAAUUUUGUCUUCAGUUGCUAUAGCUUCCCAUAGUUUUUAUUUCCUGAUAAAUUUACCACCUUAUAUUGUACAUGCUGACUUAAGCCAUUAAGGCAAAUGGGCCUACAAUGCACAAUGAGUUGGAGUUUAGUACAAGUAAGUCAGGGUACCUUGUCUUCACUGGGGAUAACGGCCUACGGAUUCUUCCUCCUUUCUUUUACCUUUUGUGCGUUCUUUUAUCUAAGUCUUUAAUUUUCAUACAUGAUCAAUUCCACUUCUGCAUUUGUAAUUUUCCCUCUGCUACUUUUUCCUCCCUCCUUCUCCUCCUCCUCCUCCUCCUCCUCCUCCUCUUCUUCUUCUUCUUCUCCUUCUUCUUCUUCCUCCUCUUCUUCCUCUUCUUCUUCCUGACUCCUACAACUUCUCCUCCUCCUUCUUCCUCUUCUUCUUGACUUGAUCUUGAACUUGCCCCUACUUCUGAUUUUUUUUUUUUUAACUAUCCCUACUGGUUCUUUCAACUUCUGAUUUUUUUCAGCCUGUCAGAAUAUCAGCUCCCUAUAUUUAAAUCCUCACCUUGAGCAGUGUCCUAGCUGGUAAUACUAGACAUUAUUUUUUCUUUUCUUUUAUUUUUUUUAAGAUUUUAUUUAUUUAUUUGACACAGAGAGAAAGAGAGCACAAGCAGGGAAAGGCAAAGGGAGAGAGAAAGAAGCAGAUUUGCCAAUGAGCAGGGAUCCCAAUGCAGGGCUUGAUCCCAGGGCCCCAGGAUCAUGACCCAAGUUGAAGGAAGAAGCUUAACUGACUGAACCACCCAGGCACCUCUUUGCCGGACAUAAUUGAAUUCUUGUUUUGUUACUUUGCUUUAAUAGUUUUAUUUCAUCUCUUUUUUAAUUAUAUACUGACUUUAUUUUUUAAGAACUAGACAGCAAGUAAAUAAUAAAUCAUUUACUUUAUACAUCAAAUGCUUGAGCCAAAAACACCCAUCUAAACUCUAAUAUAAGUAUCUCAAACUCUACUAAUCAACAUGUAAACAUAGAGAGAUCACUAACAUAGAGAAUGACAAGGUUGAAGAAUGGAAUGGUCUUGAUAUCUCCCUCUUCUCCCUGCUGACUUCAAAGGACUGUUAUCUUUUGAAUAGAACAACUUAAAGUCUUUCUUUUCAGGCCAGAAAAAAAAAAAAAAAAAA